AUUAUAACCAGUCUGGCAGUCAGUAUCAUGGUAAUAUUAUCUGACUUUAUCAGAACAUCUGUAAUUUCGACACUACUGACGAGUGACAUUUUCUUUUUUUUUUUUGCGAUAAGGGUGAAAUAUAUUAAAAGUGGAACAGAACACUCAUUUUACAUAUAGAACCCUUGGAAAGAUCUAAAUUACAAAACAAGUCCGUAGACCGACUGACGAGUGAUAUUUACACACAUGCACUCCCCCUUUAUUUCACUAGCUCAGUAAUUAAACAUGCACACAGAAAUGCAGACUCAAACCCAGACGAAGCUUUCAAAAACAUAAGUGAUUUUGCAGCUUCUGACAAGUGACACAUUCACACAGGCACUCUCCCAUUAUUUUACUUGCUCAUUAUCAUUACACAUUCAUGCACUAAUGC
This 409-nucleotide long non-coding RNA is filed under the name Panicum hallii. Its description in RNAcentral is "long non-coding RNA (PHAL_LNC000268)". The record is from RNAcentral. Lineage: Eukaryota; Viridiplantae; Streptophyta; Magnoliopsida; Poales; Poaceae.